RNAcentral lists this ribosomal RNA (395 nucleotides) under Coxiella endosymbiont of Ornithodoros brasiliensis. RNAcentral's name for it is "bacterial LSU rRNA". It matches the Rfam family "Bacterial large subunit ribosomal RNA", at positions 152 to 579 of the family's 2925-position model. The record is from RNAcentral. Lineage: Bacteria; Pseudomonadati; Pseudomonadota; Gammaproteobacteria; Legionellales; Coxiellaceae.
CGCGCGUUGAAUUCAUAGGCGCGCGAAGCGAACCUAGGGAACUGAAACAUCUAAGUACCUAGAGGAAAAGAAAUCAACCGAGAUUCCGUCAGUAGCGGCGAGCGAAAGCGGAACAGCCCAGUUACUAAAUUAUUAUUUGUUCUAGCAGAAUGUUCUGGAAAGUUCAGCCAUAGCAGGUGAUAGCCCCGUACGCGAAAGGAUAAAUAAUGUAAUGCAGGUAACGAUGAGUAAGUCGGGACACGUGGUAUCUUGACUGAACAUGGGGGGACCAUCCUCCAAGGCUAAAUACUCCUUACUGACCGAUAGCGAACCAGUACCGUGAGGGAAAGGUGAAAAGAACCCCAGCGAGGGGAGUGAAAUAGAACCUGAAACCGUAUGCGUACAAGCAGUGGGAG